CCUACGGGAGGCAGCAGUGAGGAAUAUUGGUCAAUGGACGAGAGUCUGAACCAGCCAAGUAGCGUGAAGGAUGACGGCCCUAUGGUUUGUAAACUUCUUUUAUAUGGGAAUAAAGUGUGGCACGUGUUGGUUUUUGUAUGUACCAUAUGAAUAAGCAUCGGCUAACUCCGUGCCAGCAGCCGCGGUAAUACGGAGGAUCCGAGCGUUAUCCGGAUUUAUUGGGUUUAAAGGGAGCGUAGGUGGUUUGUUAAGUCAGUGGUGAAAGUUUGUGGCUCAACCGUAAAAUUGCAGUUGAAACUGGCAGACUUGAGUACAGUAGAGGUAGGCGGAAUUCGUGGUGUAGCGGUGAAAUGCAUAGAUAUCACGCAGAACUCCGAUUGCGAAGGCAGCUUACUAAACUAUAACUGACACUGAGGCUCGAAAGUGUGGGUAUCAAACAGGAUUAGAUACCCGUGUAGUC
RNAcentral lists this ribosomal RNA (460 nucleotides) under uncultured bacterium. Its description in RNAcentral is "partial 16S ribosomal RNA". It matches the Rfam family "Bacterial small subunit ribosomal RNA", at positions 338 to 795 of the family's 1533-position model. The record is from RNAcentral.